GACGAACGCUGGCGGCGUGCUUAACACAUGCAAGUCGAACGGAAAGGCCCUGCUUUUGUGGGGUGCUCGAGUGGCGAACGGGUGAGUAACACGUGAGUAACCUGCCCUUGACUUUGGGAUAACUUCAGGAAACUGGGGCUAAUACCGGAUAGGAGCUCCUGCUGCAUGGUGGGGGUUGGAAAGUUUCGGCGGUUGGGGAUGGACUCGCGGCUUAUCAGCUUGUUUGUCGGGUAGUGGUUUACCAAGGCUUUGACGGGUAGCCGGCCUGAGAGGGUGACCGGCCACAUUGGGACUGAGAUACGGCCCAGACUCGUACGGGAGGCAGCAGUGGGGAAUAUUGCACAAUGGGCGGAAGCCUGAUGCAGCAACGCCGCGUGCGGGAUGACGGCCUUCGGGUUGUAAACCGCUUUCGCCUGUGACGAAGCGUGAGUGACGGUAAUGGGUAAAGAAGCACCGGCUAACUACGUG
This 468-nucleotide ribosomal RNA is filed under the name uncultured bacterium. Its description in RNAcentral is "partial 16S ribosomal RNA". It matches the Rfam family "Bacterial small subunit ribosomal RNA", at positions 28 to 507 of the family's 1533-position model. The record is from RNAcentral.